GCCAUUCUCAGUUCGGAUUGUAGGCUGAAACUCGCCUACAUGAAGCUGGAGUUACUAGUAAUCGCAGAUCAGAAUGCUGCGGUGAAUGCGUUCCCGGGUCUUGUACACACCGCCCGUCACACCACGGAAGUUGGGGGCGCCCGAAGCCACUUAGCUAACCCUUUGGGAAGCGAGUGUCGAAGGUGAAAUCAAUAACUGGGGUGAAGUCGUAACAAGGUAAC
This 221-nucleotide ribosomal RNA is filed under the name uncultured bacterium. RNAcentral's name for it is "partial 16S ribosomal RNA". It matches the Rfam family "Bacterial small subunit ribosomal RNA", at positions 1281 to 1500 of the family's 1533-position model. The record is from RNAcentral.